UCAAUUGUGCUAAUCUCUAUCUCUACUCCUAUAAAAAUCUGAGUUGGUGAUGAUGGUGUGCCUGCCAUCUAUCGUUUUCGACCGUCUGAUCUGCAUCCAACGCAUAGGAGCCAACCCCACUUCACAUUUGCAAAGAAACCCCUCAGUCCCUUUGUCCAACUACAUCCAGUCCCACCUUAUCCAAUCAGCCAAGGUCGAUCUUUCUAGAAAAAAAUGGAAGCAUCCGAAGGCACUGGCAGUGGCCGCUGCCGCCGGUGCUGUCCGUCCCUCCUCUUUGCCGUAGGAACCUCACCGGCCACCGCCACACGCACCUCCCCCUCCUCCCCGUCGUCUCCUCCUCCCCCUACCUUGUCUCCUACGACGCCGACAUCGGCAAGUACACCGCUGGUGAUGUCCUUCCGCCGAUCCUGUGACGCCUCUCAUGCCUACUCCUCCGAUGCAGCAGACCCGCCGCCCACCACCUGUCCCUCCUCACCACCUUCUCCUCCUCCCCUACCCCUUCUCCUCCGAUGAUCGGCAAGUACGCCGCCGGCGACAUCUGCCCCUUGAAUACCCUGUCUCGCUGCCGCCAACCUCCCCCAAUCCCUCUUCCCCUGACAUGGGUGUUCCCAAUCUUAGCUCAAAAUUCAGAUCAUCAUGUACACCACCCCAAUUCUCCCAGCUUCUUCAUCCCUCUCCCUUCCUAUGUCUUUCUUUCUGUCCAUCACGCUCUGUGUCUGAUGCCCUGCUCGCUCGCUGUCACCCGUGCCGCGUGGUGGCCACUACUGCUGCCAGUACUCCUAGCUCACCGUCAAUGAAUCGCGGAAGCCACAACCUCUUCAAGCGUGCUCGUUCGCCGUACUUGCGACUGUCUGGAGGCCGCACACCCUGCAGGCACGCCCACUGCCCAUCUGCCAUCACCAGACCGCAUGGAGGUCACACCCCAUGUGGGCGCGCUCGCUCCAGAGCUGCACCGGAUCCUCAGGAGCGCAAUGCCGCCAUGUCGACGAACAUGUGGACGGAUCAGCAACGAUCUUAGUAAAACACUCAUGGAUCAGGAGCAAGUUUUAGUAGUAUGGCAUGAUGUUGGAGCCUUUUGUCUAAACCUUUUGAACUAAGGAUGGUAGAUGGCACUUUCAGACAUUCCUGCUCGAAUGUUUUGUGCUUGCAUUCUUCCUCUGUAGUACUGAAAGAUCCAAUCUAAGACAAAGAAGCAAGAAAUGCACUUAGGAGAAAGAAGACUUGAGCCGUGACUCCUGCCAGCAAGAAUGCAUAGAUGGCAAGGAGUGUCUAUUUUGGUUCUUGAUUAUUGUAAUAUGGCUCAUUAAGCUGCUACAUAUCUGUUGAAUUGGGUGUCAUUUUGGAACAAAUAUUUGUCGCUGUAAUGUACAAUGCAUGGUCGAAAACUAAUUACUGGUAUUGUUUUGUUUAAA
Molecule: long non-coding RNA, 1412 nt
Organism: Aegilops tauschii subsp. strangulata
Lineage: Eukaryota; Viridiplantae; Streptophyta; Magnoliopsida; Poales; Poaceae
Source: RefSeq, a predicted model, not a curated record